Molecule: ribosomal RNA, 437 nt
Filed under: uncultured Alphaproteobacteria bacterium
Lineage: Bacteria; Pseudomonadati; Pseudomonadota; Alphaproteobacteria
Description: bacterial SSU rRNA
Rfam family: Bacterial small subunit ribosomal RNA
Source: RNAcentral
CAGGCCUAACACAUGCAAGUCGAGCGCCGUAGCAAUACGGAGCGGCAGACGGGAGAGUAACACGUGGGAACGUGCCCUUCAGUUCGGAACAACCCAGGGAAACUUGGGCUAAUACCGGAUACGUCCGUAAGGAGAAAGAUUUAUCGCUGAAGGAUCGGCCCGCGUCUGAUUAGCUUGUUGGUGAGGUAACGGCUCACCAAGGCGACGAUCAGUAGCUGGUCUGAGAGGAUGAUCAGCCUCACUGGGACUGAGACACGGCCCAGACUCCUACGGGAGGCAGCAGUGGGGAAUAUUGGACAAUGGGCGCAAGCCUGAUCCAGCCAUGCCGCGUGAGUGAUGAAGGCCCUAGGGUUGUAAAGCUCUUUUGUGCGGGAAGAUAAUGACGGUACCGCAAGAAUAAGCCCCGGCUAACUUCGUGCCAGCAGCCGCGGUAAUAC